AAAUACAAUCAUCCACAUCUACCGCUCCGACAAUCAACUGAUAAUAUCAAUUAUAAUACACAAAUCACAACUUUGGUCUUUUUCAUUUCCAGAUGGAUACUGCCGGAAAAGCGAAAAAAGGUGCCGGCGGUAGGAAGGUUGGCGGCCAAUCGAAGAAGCCGGUUUCCCGGUCCGUCAAAGCCGGUCUUCAAUUCCCGGUCGGUAGAAUUGGUCGUUACCUGAAGAAGGGUCGUUAUUUAUUUGGCUGCUGUUCUUGAAUAUUUGGCCGCUGAAGUGUUGGAAUUGGCUGGGAAUGCAGCGCGUGACAACAAGAAGAACAGAAUUAUUCCAAGGCACGUUCUGUUGGCUGUGAGGAACGAUGAAGAGCUAGGGAAGCUUCUUGCCGGUGUGACCAUUGCUCAUGGCGGUGUGCUUCCCAAUAUCAACCCGAUUUUGUUGCCUAAGAAAACUGGUGCUGAAAAGGCACCGAAAUCUCCAGCUAAGGCCACAAAAUCUCCCAGGAAAGCUGCAGCCUAGAAUUUGUUUUUAGUGACUGUUGAAACUGAAUUUUAUUUUGUAUGUAAUUCUGGUCCUAGAUCUAGUUCUUUUGUUAGUUGAGGGAAUUUGAGAAGAAUAUUGUUGUAAUUCUGAACUUCGUGUCAGUUGUUCCUCAUAAUCAAAUCAAUGAAACCCCUUGUUUCUAUC
Nicotiana tabacum (common tobacco) is the source of this 684-nucleotide non-coding RNA. NCBI's taxonomy places the organism in Eukaryota, Viridiplantae, Streptophyta, Magnoliopsida, Solanales, Solanaceae. The record is from RefSeq and is a predicted model, not a curated record.